This 376-nucleotide ribosomal RNA is filed under the name uncultured bacterium. RNAcentral's name for it is "bacterial SSU rRNA". It matches the Rfam family "Bacterial small subunit ribosomal RNA", at positions 524 to 898 of the family's 1533-position model. The record is from RNAcentral.
UACAGAGAGUGCAAGCGUUGUUCGGAAUUAUUGGGCGUAAAGCGCGUGUAGGCGGCUCGAUAAGUCUGGCGUGAAAGCCUGAGGCUUAACCUCAGAAGUGCGCUGGAAACUGUCAAGCUGGAGUAUCGGAGGGGGAAGUGGAAUGCCGAGUGUAGAGGUGAAAUUCGUAGAUAUUCGGCAGAACAUCAGUGGCGAAGGCGACUUCCUGGACGAAUACUGACGCUGAGACGCGAAAGCGUGGGUAGCAAACAGGAUUAGAUACCCUGGUAGUCCACGCUGUAAACGAUGGGUGCUAGUUGUCGCGGGUAUCCAACCCCGCGGUAACGAAGCUAACGCGAUAAGCACCCCGCCUGGGGAGUACGGCCGCAAGGUUAAA